UUUGGUGGCGAUAGCGAAGAGGUCACACCCGUUCCCAUGCCGAACACGGAAGUUAAG
Molecule: ribosomal RNA, 57 nt
Filed under: Bacillus amyloliquefaciens
Lineage: Bacteria; Bacillati; Bacillota; Bacilli; Caryophanales; Bacillaceae
Also listed under: 4 other names
Source: RNAcentral